GCGCCGGUGGUGUAAUGGCGUAGAGCAUUCCCGCCCGGUCAGAGUGAGGUGCGGGUUCGAGUCCCGCCUGGCGCU
This is a non-coding RNA of Heligmosomoides polygyrus, 75 nucleotides long. NCBI's taxonomy places the organism in Eukaryota, Metazoa, Nematoda, Chromadorea, Rhabditida, Heligmosomidae. The record is from Rfam.